This 505-nucleotide ribosomal RNA is filed under the name uncultured bacterium. RNAcentral's name for it is "partial 16S ribosomal RNA". It matches the Rfam family "Bacterial small subunit ribosomal RNA", at positions 28 to 507 of the family's 1533-position model. The record is from RNAcentral.
GACGAACGCUGGCGGCGUGCCUAAUACAUGCAAGUAGAACGCACAGUUUAUACUGUAUCUUGCCACACCAUAGACUGUGAGUUGCGAAUGGGUGAGUAACGCGUAGGUAACCUGUCUGGUAGCGGGGAAUGACUAUUGGAAACGAUAGCUAAUACCGCAUAAUAUUAAUUAUUGCAUGAUAAUUAAUUGAAAGGUGAAAUUGCACCACUAUCAGAUGGACCUGCGCUGUAGUAGCAAGUAGGUGAGGUAAAGGCUCACCGAGGCGACGAUACAUAGCCGACCAGAGAGGGUGAGAGGCAUCGCUGAGACGAGAGCACGGCCCACAAUACUGGGAGAGGCAGAAGGAGGGAAUUUUUGGCAAUGGAAGCAAGUCUGAACGGGGAACACCGGGUGAGUGAAGGAGGUUGUCGGGUCGUAAAGCUCUGUUGGAAGAGAGGAACGGGAGGGAGAGUGGAAAGGUCACACUGUGACGGUAUCUUACCAGAAAGGAACGGCUAACUACGUG